This 253-nucleotide ribosomal RNA is filed under the name uncultured bacterium. RNAcentral's name for it is "partial 16S ribosomal RNA". It matches the Rfam family "Bacterial small subunit ribosomal RNA", at positions 524 to 776 of the family's 1533-position model. The record is from RNAcentral.
UACGAGGGGGGCAAGCGUUGUUCGGAAUUAUUGGGCGUAAAGCGUGCGCAGGCGGUUUGCUAAGAGAGAUGUGAAAUCCCCGGGCUUAACCUGGGAACUGCGUUUCUAACUGGCAGGCUUGAGUCCGGAAGGGGCGAGUGGAAUUCCUGGUGUAGCGGUGAAAUGCGCAGAUAUCAGGAGGAACACCAAUGGCGAAGGCAGCUCGCUGGAACGGUACUGACGCUGAGGCGCGAAAGCUAGGGGAGCGAACGGG